AUACUCAUCUGGCAGGGGAGAUACUGUGACCAGGCAGGUGGUUUUCCAGGGCAAGGCUCAUCCAUUACAUUUCAUAUGUGAUGAUCCCUGCAAUUUCUUCAAAUUCAAGAAUUUUGGAUGCAUUGUGGCAGUAAGGACUGUAUUCACACUCCCUUUAA
Small nuclear RNA from Peromyscus eremicus (cactus mouse), 158 nucleotides. RefSeq annotates it as U1 spliceosomal RNA. The transcript has a single exon. The record is from RefSeq and is a predicted model, not a curated record. Lineage: Eukaryota; Metazoa; Chordata; Mammalia; Rodentia; Cricetidae.